This 253-nucleotide ribosomal RNA is filed under the name uncultured bacterium. RNAcentral's name for it is "partial 16S ribosomal RNA". It matches the Rfam family "Bacterial small subunit ribosomal RNA", at positions 524 to 776 of the family's 1533-position model. The record is from RNAcentral.
UACGUAGGGGGCAAGCGUUGUCCGGAAUCAUUGGGCGUAAAGAGCGUGUAGGCGGUCCGUUAAGUCGGCUGUGAAAGUCCAAGGCUCAACCUUGGGAUGCCGGUCGAUACUGCCGGACUAGAGUUCGGAAGAGGCGAGUGGAAUUCCCGGUGUAGCGGUGAAAUGCGCAGAUAUCGGGAGGAACACCUAUGGCGAAGGCAGCUCGCUGGGACGGUACUGACGCUGAGGCGCGAAAGCGUGGGGAGCGAACAGG